GAACCAGACUCCUACGGGAGGCAGCAGUGGGGGAUAUUGGACAAUGGGGGGAACCCUGAUCCAGCGACGCCGCGUGAGUGAAGAAGUAUUUCGGUAUGUAAAGCUCUGUCAGCAGGGAAGAAAGAAAUGACGGUACCUGACCAAGAAGCCCCGGCUAACUACGUGCCAGCAGCCGCGGUAAUACGUAGGGGGCGAGCGUUAUCCGGAAUUACUGGGUGUAAAGGGAGCGUAGACGGCGAGGUAAGCCUGAAGUGGAAGCCCGCGGCCCAACCGCGGAACUGCUUUGGAAACUGUUAAGCUGGAGUGCAGGAGAGGUAAGUGGAAUUCCUAGUGUAGCGGUGAAAUGCGUAGAUAUUAGGAGGAACACCAGUGGCGAAGGCGGCUUACUGGACUGUAACUGACGUUGAGGCUCGAAAGCGUGGGGAGCAAACAGGAUUAGAUACCCUCGUAC
This 451-nucleotide ribosomal RNA is filed under the name uncultured bacterium. RNAcentral describes it as "bacterial SSU rRNA". It matches the Rfam family "Bacterial small subunit ribosomal RNA", at positions 328 to 793 of the family's 1533-position model. The record is from RNAcentral.